This is a long non-coding RNA of Cylas formicarius (sweet potato weevil), 823 nucleotides long. RefSeq lists it as uncharacterized. The record is from RefSeq and is a predicted model, not a curated record. NCBI's taxonomy places the organism in Eukaryota, Metazoa, Arthropoda, Insecta, Coleoptera, Brentidae. The transcript has 2 exons.
CAUGUACAAUCUCGGAUUACAGUGCCUAGCUAUCGAUUUGUUCUUAAAGAAUAUCGUUCUGCACGAGCCCACGUUCGUUCUAAACCUGUUAAAGCAUAAUACAAAUGUCAAGCGAUAGCUAAGAUGUACAUCCCUUCCUCCUACGACCCCCUAUAGUAAAUCACAACACACACAGACCAUGGAGCGUCAAUUUCCUUGACAAGAAAUUAUAAUUGGCAUGUAAUAAACAAAACCUAUUAUUUAUUAAAAUCGGAAUACAAUAUUUAAGGCGUAUCAAUCUUUUUGUAGAUAUUUUGUUAAUUACAUCUAGAAGUAGGGGAGGUAAAUCUAAAUGACACGGUAAUGUGCUAAAACCAGUCCAACAUAAAUCUGUUUGCUCAAGUUUUUUUACCACUAGAAAGACUAAUCUGUGUAAAUUCUCGAAAUUGAGUUAUGGGUUACCAAGUAUACAAAUUUUAUUCUAAUGACAAUGAAAAUCGACCAAAAUUGGCUCAGGUACCGACAGAACGAUAAACAAUAAAAUAGAAAUUCAGGCACAGAAACGCUACGAACAAAUAAAAUAGGUUAAUCAAUUGUUCACUUAAUCCCGCCAUUCGUUAAUCAUUCUUUGCACAGAUUAGUCUGUGCAAAGAAGGUGAUCACGUGACCAAAAAUCCGUUUUGUCUGCGAUGCAAAUAUCGAACGCAGCAUAUAUGUUAACAAAUUAAACAACAGUAAAUUAGACUUACAGUGUUUGCUAGCGGCACGAAAUUUUCCUCGACGUGUGUAGUUUCAUUUUUGGACCGUUUAGGUACGAAACAACACGAACCACAACACCGGCCCC